CACGUAGGGGGCGAGCGUUGUCCGGAUUUAUUGGGCGUAAAGAGCUCGUAGGCGGCUCGGUAAGUCGGGUGUGAAAACUCGGGGCUCAACCCCGAGACGCCACUCGAUACUGCUGUGGCUUGAGUCCGGUAGGGGAGCGUGGAAUUCCUGGUGUAGCGGUGAAAUGCGCAGAUAUCAGGAGGAACACCAGUGGCGAAGGCGGCGCUCUGGGCCGGUACUGACGCUGAGGAGCGAAAGCGUGGGGAGCAAACAGG
This 254-nucleotide ribosomal RNA is filed under the name uncultured bacterium. RNAcentral describes it as "partial 16S ribosomal RNA". It matches the Rfam family "Bacterial small subunit ribosomal RNA", at positions 524 to 776 of the family's 1533-position model. The record is from RNAcentral.